RNAcentral lists this ribosomal RNA (494 nucleotides) under uncultured bacterium. Its description in RNAcentral is "bacterial SSU rRNA". It matches the Rfam family "Bacterial small subunit ribosomal RNA", at positions 903 to 1397 of the family's 1533-position model. The record is from RNAcentral.
AAAGGAAUUGACGGGGGCCCGCACAAGCGGAGGAACAUGUGGUUUAAUUCGAUGAUACGCGAGGAACCUUACCCGGGAUUGAAAUGGAGAGGCAUACAGUGGAGACACUGUAGUCAGCAAUGACCUCUUUGUAGGUGCUGCAUGGUUGUCGUCAGCUCGUGCCGUGAGGUGUCGGCUUAAGUGCCAUAACGAGCGCAACCCUGACUGUCAGUUGCUAACAGGUUAAGCUGAGGACUCUGGCGGAACUGCCGGCGUAAGCUGUGAGGAAGGCUGGGAUGACGUCAAAUCAGCACGGCCCUUACAUCCGGGGCGACACACGUGUUACAAUGGGGGGGACAAAGGGCAGCUACCGGGCGACCGGAUGCCAAUCUCGAAACCCUCUCUCAGUUCGGAUCGGAGUCUGCAACCCGACUCCGUGAAGCCGGAUUCGCUAGUAAUCGCGCAUCAGCCAUGGCGCGGUGAAUACGUUCCCGGGCCUUGUACACACCGCCCGU